GAUGAACGCUGACAGAAUGCUUAACACAUGCAAGUCGAUUCGAUUUACCUUCGGGUAUUGAGGAUGGCGGACGGGUGAGUAACGCGUAAGGAACUUGCCUCUUGGUCUGGGACAACUGUUGGAAACGACAGCUAAUACCGGAUAUUAUGAGAUUCUCGCAUGGGAAACUUAUGAAAGCUAUAUGCGCCAAGAGAGAGCCUUGCGUUCCAUUAGCUAGUUGGUGGGGNAACGGCCCACCNNGGCGACGAUGGAUAGCCGGCCUGAGAGGGUGAACGGCCACNAGGGGACUGAGACACGGCCCUUACUCCUACNGGAGGCAGCAGUGGGGAAUAUUGGACAAUGGACCANAAGUCUGAUCCAGCAAUUCUGUGUGCACGAUGAAGGUCUUCGGAUUGUAAAGUGCUUUCNGUUGGNAAGAAGCAAGUGACGGUACCAACAGAAGAAGCGACGGCUAAAUACGUGCCAGCAGCNGCGGUAAUACGUAUGUCGCAAGCGUUAUCCGGAUUUNUUGNNCGUAAAGCGCGUCUAGNCGGAAAAAUAAGUCUGAUGUUAAAAUGCNGGGCUCAACUCCGUAUUGCGUUG
Molecule: ribosomal RNA, 582 nt
Filed under: uncultured prokaryote
Description: partial 16S ribosomal RNA
Rfam family: Bacterial small subunit ribosomal RNA
Source: RNAcentral